GGUUUCCUGGUGUAAUGGCUAGCACUGCGGAUUCUGAGUCCCCCCCGGACAAUAUUGUGGGCACUAAAAAAGAGUGGUUACGCAAAUUGGACCACCGGGAUGGAGGAGACUUCCGCCAAUCUGGGUUCGAUUCCCAGGGAGACCU
Non-coding RNA from Annulohypoxylon bovei var. microspora, 145 nucleotides. The record is from the annotation of a GenBank genome assembly. NCBI's taxonomy places the organism in Eukaryota, Fungi, Ascomycota, Sordariomycetes, Xylariales, Hypoxylaceae.